Molecule: ribosomal RNA, 759 nt
Filed under: uncultured bacterium
Lineage: Bacteria
Description: bacterial SSU rRNA
Rfam family: Bacterial small subunit ribosomal RNA
Source: RNAcentral
UGGGGAGCAAACAGGAUUAGAUACCCUGGUAGUCCACGCCGUAAACGAUGUCUACUAGCCGUUGGGAGACUUGAUCUCUUAGUGGCGCAGCUAACGCAAUAAGUAGACCGCCUGGGGAGUACGGCCGCAAGGUUAAAACUCAAAUGAAUUGACGGGGGCCCGCACAAGCGGUGGAGCAUGUGGUUUAAUUCGACGCAACGCGAAGAACCUUACCUACUCUUGAAAUCCAGAGAAUUCGCUAGAGAUAGCUUAGUGCCUUCGGGAACUCUGUGACAGGUGCUGCAUGGCUGUCGUCAGCUCGUGUUGUGAAAUGUUGGGUUAAGUCCCGUAACGAGCGCAACCCUUGUCCUUAUUUGCCAGCACAUAAUGGUGGGAACUCUAAGGAGACUGCCGGUGACAAACCGGAGGAAGGUGGGGACGACGUCAAGUCAUCAUGGCCCUUACGAGUAGGGCUACACACGUGCUACAAUGGCCGGUACAGAGGGCUGCAACCCCGCGAGGGUGAGCUAAUCUCAGAAAACCGGUCGUAGUCCGGAUUGGAGUCUGCAACUCGACUCCAUGAAGUCGGAAUCGCUAGUAAUCGCGAAUCAGAAUGUCGCGGUGAAUACGUUCCCGGGCCUUGUACACACCGCCCGUCACACCAUGGGAGUGGAUUGCACCAGAAGUAGCUAGCUUAACCUUCGGGAGGGCGGUUACCACGGUGUGGUUCAUGACUGGGGUGAAGUCGUAACAAGGUAGCCCUAGGGGAACCUGGGGCUG